Molecule: unclassified non-coding RNA, 148 nt
Filed under: uncultured Dothideomycetes
Lineage: Eukaryota; Fungi; Ascomycota; Dothideomycetes
Description: sequence contains ITS2
Source: RNAcentral
GUACCUUCAAGCUCUGCUUGGUGUUGGGUGUUUGUCCACUAUCGUGGACUCGCCUUAAAGUCAUUGGCAGCCAGUGUUUUGGUAUUGAAGCGCAGCACAUUUUGCGCCUCUAGCCUAGAACACUAGCACCCAGUAAGCCUUUUUCCAC